RNAcentral lists this ribosomal RNA (468 nucleotides) under uncultured bacterium. RNAcentral's name for it is "partial 16S ribosomal RNA". It matches the Rfam family "Bacterial small subunit ribosomal RNA", at positions 28 to 507 of the family's 1533-position model. The record is from RNAcentral.
GACGAACGCUGGCGGCGUGCUUAACACAUGCAAGUCGAACGGAAAGGCCCUGCUUUUGUGGGGUGCUCGAGUGGCGAACGGGUGAGUAACACGUGAGUAACCUGCCCUUGACUUUGGGAUAACUUCAGGAAACUGGGGCUAAUACCGGAUAGGAGCUCCUGCUGCAUGGUGGUGGUUGGAAAGUUUCGGCGGUUGGGGAUGGACUCGCGGCUUAUCAGCUUGUUGGUGAGGUAGUGGCUUACCAAGGCUUUGACGGGUAGCCGGCCUGAGAGGGUGACCGGCCACAUUGGGACUGAGAUACGGCCCAGACUGCUACGGGAGGCAGCAGUGGGGAAUAUUGCACAAUGGGCGGAAGCCUGAUGCAGCAACGCCGCGUGCGGGAUGACGGCCUUCGGGUUGUAAACCGCUUUCGCCUGUGACGAAGCGUGAGUGACGGUAAUGGGUAAAGAAGCACCGGCUAACUACGUG